AUUGAACGCUGGCGGCAUGCCUUACACAUGCAAAUCGAACGGUAACAGGUCUUCGGAUGCUGACGAGUGGCGAACGGGUGAGUAAUACGUCGGAACGUGCCUAGUAGUGGGGGAUAACUACUCGAAAGAGUGGCUAAUACCGCAUGAGAUCUACGGAUGAAAGCAGGGGAUCGCAAGACCUUGUGCUACUAGAGCGGCCGAUGGCAGAUUAGGUAGUUGGUGGGAUAAAAGCUUACCAAGCCGACGAUCUGUAGCUGGUCUGAGAGGACGAUCAGCCACACUGGGACUGAGACACGGCCCAGACUCCUACGGGAGGCAGCAGUGGGGAAUUUUGGACAAUGGGCGAAAGCCUGAUCCAGCAAUGCCGCGUGCAGGAUGAAGGCCUUCGGGUUGUAAACUGCUUUUGUACGGAACGAAAAGCCCUGGGUUAAUACCCUGGGGUCAUGACGGUACCGUAAGAAUAAGCACCGGCUAACUACGUGCCAGCCGCCGCAGUAA
Molecule: ribosomal RNA, 498 nt
Filed under: uncultured bacterium
Lineage: Bacteria
Description: partial 16S ribosomal RNA
Rfam family: Bacterial small subunit ribosomal RNA
Source: RNAcentral